Molecule: ribosomal RNA, 203 nt
Filed under: uncultured bacterium
Lineage: Bacteria
Description: partial 16S ribosomal RNA
Rfam family: Bacterial small subunit ribosomal RNA
Source: RNAcentral
CCUACGGGAGGCAGCAGUCGGGAAUUUUGGGCAAUGGGCGAAAGCCUGACCCAGCAACGCCGCGUGAAGGAUGAAGUAUUUCGGUAUGUAAACUUCGAAAGAAUGGGAAGAAUCAAUGACGGUACCAUUUAUAAGCUCCGGCUAACUACGUGCCAGCAGCCGCGGUAAUACGUAGGGAGCAAGCGUUGUUCGGAUUUACUGGG